CCCCGGGCUGUGCCGGGUGCUGGGAGGCGGCUGCGGGAUGAGGAGGCUGCGCGUGGGGGUUCGUGGAGUGCGGGGAUGGAGUUUUUGGGCAAAAAAGGGUCGCUUAGCACGAUAUUUACUAUGAAAAGUCAUAAAGAAUAGACUGGAAGAUAUUUCAGAGAUAACUGGUUUCCCACCCCCCAGAGUAGUCCUGAUGGUCUUGGAGACGCAGCUUCCUUCAGGAUCUGCUGUGCGGUGUAAGGACCGGAGUGGGUCGGAUUCGCCCCAGGAGAGGGCAGCAGUGUGCUUGCACAAAACCGCCCUAUCUUGGCUGUGUAGGGUCUUUCUUUUGUACCGAGUAUCGAAUUCCUAUUAAACCAAUUUUAAAAGCAGUACA
This is a long non-coding RNA of Corapipo altera (White-ruffed manakin), 376 nucleotides long. RefSeq lists it as uncharacterized. The transcript has 3 exons. The record is from RefSeq and is a predicted model, not a curated record. Lineage: Eukaryota; Metazoa; Chordata; Aves; Passeriformes; Pipridae.